CCUACGGGAGGCAGCAGUGGGGGAUAUUGCACAAUGGGGGGAACCCUGAUGCAGCGACGCCGCGUGGGUGAAGGAGCGUUUCGGCGCGUAAAGCCCUAUCGGCAGGGAAGAAGGAGGACGGUACCUGACUAAGAAGCCCCGGCUAACUACGUGCCAGCAGCCGCGGGAAGACGUAGGGGGCAAGCGUUAUCCGGAUUUACUGGGUGUAAAGGGGGCGCAGACGGCAGCGCAAGCCAGGAGUGAAAGCCCGGGGCCCAACCCCGGGACUGCUCUUGGAACUGCGCGGCUGGAGUGCAGGAGGGGCAGGCGGAAUUCCUGGUGUAGCGGUGAAAUGCGUAGAUAUCAGGAGGAACACCGGUGGCGAAGGCGGACUGCUGGACUGCGACUGACGUUGAGGCCCGAAAGCGUGGGGAGCAAACAGGAUUAGAUACCCCUGUAGUC
Molecule: ribosomal RNA, 441 nt
Filed under: uncultured bacterium
Lineage: Bacteria
Description: partial 16S ribosomal RNA
Rfam family: Bacterial small subunit ribosomal RNA
Source: RNAcentral